RNAcentral lists this ribosomal RNA (109 nucleotides) under marine eukaryotic metagenome. The record is from RNAcentral.
GGUGACGCUAGCCGUGGGGUUCCACCCGAUCCCUUCCCGAACUCGGAAGUUAAGCCCACGCACGCCGAUGGUACUGCAGCUUUAGCUGUGGGAGAGUAGGUCAUUGCCG